GCCUCAGCCUCCCGAGUAGCUGGGACUACAGGCACCUGCCAUCGUGCCUGGCUAAUUUUUGUAGUUUUAGUAAAGACGGAGUUUUACCAUCUUGGCCAGGCUGGUCUUGAACUCCUGACCUCAUGAUCCACCCGCCUCGGCCUCCCAAAGUGCUGGGAUUACAGGCAUGAACCACCAUGCCUGGCCAAGUUUAUGAACAAUGGUAAAAAUCCAUCCAGAUUAUCAUGACGAGGAAAGUUUAAUGUAACAAAGUUAUUUGAUUAUUUAUUCAACAUUUCAGGUGGACGCAUUCACAUUUUCUCUCCCCAACUCCCUCUACUUUCCUGCAUGUCCAUGUCUCUAAAAUCAUAAAGAGGAAGAGUUCAUUCUUGUAAGUUGAAAACACAUCUUUUCUCUGACCAAUACACUGUAGAGAAAGCUUAUUUCAAUCUUCAAAUGACUGAGCUCCAAAAAAGCUUCAUUAAAAAACUUUUAAAACAUCACAGAAUUAUACUUGAUUUUAUACUGCUAUUAAUUUACAAAAACAAAAAUGUCAGUUACUACUGAGUACAUGAAGUAUAAAGGACAGACAAUAUAAAGAUACACAUAACUUUCAUUAAGGCAAGUUUCUCUUAUGUAAAAAAAUAAGUAGAAGGAUUAUGUACAUAGCUUUCAAUAUCCAGUCACUAUAAUAGUUCAGAAAAAUAUUCUGCUGCCUUAGGCAUCACAAAAUUCCAUUAUCUAUACAACAUAAGAAAUGCCCAUGCUUGUUAGCUACUACUAAUAAACAAAAUAGAACUACUUAUAUACAUUUCACAAAACAAAUUCAGUAUUCAAAGUUUUUCUAAUCAUCAAAAUUUCCUUAAUGUAUUAAGGCACAGUAAUUAUCAAAUUCAUUAAAAACCUGAGAUAUUUAGUAUGUUUCUUUUUUUUUUUUUUUUUUUCUUUUUUUUUUCUUUUUUUUUUUUUUAUUAUACUCUCAGUUUUAGGGUACAUGUGCACAUUGUGCAGGUUAGUUACAUAUGUAUACAUGUGCCAUGCUGGUGCGCUGCACCCACUAAUGUGUCAUCUAGCAUUAGGUAUAUCUCCCAAUGCUAUCCCUCCCGCCUCCCCCGACCCCACCACAGUCCCCAGAGUGUGAUAUUCCCCUUCCUGUGUCCAUGUGAUCUCAUUGUUCAAUUCCCACCUAUGAGUGAGAAUAUGCGGUGUUUGGUUUUUUGUUCUUGCGAUAGUUUACUGAGAAUGAUGGUUUCCAAUUUCAUCCAUGUCCCUACAAAGGAUAUGAACUCAUCAUUUUUUAUGGCUGCAUAGUAUUCCAUGGUGUAUAUGUGCCACAUUUUCUUAAUCCAGACUAUCAUUGUUGGACAUUUGGGUUGGUUCCAAGUCUUUGCUAUUGUGAAUAGUGCCGCAAUAAACAUACGUGUGCAUGUGUCUUUAUAGCAGCAUGAUUUAUAGUCCUUUGGGUAUAUACCCAGUAAUGGGAUGGCUGGGUCAAAU
RNAcentral lists this long non-coding RNA (1476 nucleotides) under Homo sapiens (human). RNAcentral describes it as "HSALNT0384816". The record is from RNAcentral. Lineage: Eukaryota; Metazoa; Chordata; Mammalia; Primates; Hominidae.